Molecule: small RNA, 541 nt
Filed under: Pan troglodytes (chimpanzee)
Lineage: Eukaryota; Metazoa; Chordata; Mammalia; Primates; Hominidae
Description: retained intron
Source: RNAcentral
CACGCUAAACAUGGGUAUGGGGAGAGCCUGUGGCUAGGGCGUGGGGAGGGCCUGGUCUCUAGGGUUCCGGGCGUCCUGCGGCAGGGGCUCCUCUCUUCACAUGGCCUCUCUCCACAGAGAAGUACAACUUCCUGGGUAUCUCCAUUGUUGGCCAAAGCAAUGAGCGGGGAGACGGAGGCAUCUACAUUGGCUCCAUCAUGAAGGGUGGGGCUGUGGCGGCCGACGGGCGCAUUGAGCCAGGGGACAUGCUUUUGCAGGUGAAUGACAUGAACUUUGAGAACAUGAGCAAUGAUGACGCCGUGCGGGUGCUGAGGGACAUUGUGCACAAGCCUGGGUGAGUUGCCGAGCAGGUUGCCGGUCCUCAGUCCUCUUUUUUUUUCUCUUUCAUGUUUUGUUUUGGAAUUUUAAUAAGUACUAAGACAGCCGGGCGUGGUGGCUCAAGCCUGUAAACCCAGCACUUUGGGAGGCCCAGAUGGGUGGAUCACCUGAGGUGAGGAGUUCGAGACCAGCCUGACCAAUGUGGUGAAACCGUGUCUCUACU